GGCGUGGUAGCUCAGUUGGUUAGAGCGUCGGAUUCAUAACCCGGAGGUCGGGAGUUCAAAUCUCCCCCACGCUACAA
Molecule: transfer RNA, 77 nt
Filed under: Cytophagaceae bacterium
Lineage: Bacteria; Pseudomonadati; Bacteroidota; Cytophagia; Cytophagales; Cytophagaceae
Description: tRNA-Met
Rfam family: tRNA
About the family: Transfer RNA (tRNA) molecules are approximately 80 nucleotides in length.
Source: RNAcentral